CCCCUGCCCUGCGGGCCUCGCCGCGCCGCCUUUGCUCGGGUGCGCAGCGCCACCUGCGGACCGCUCGUGCGUCCCUUUCCCGGGGAGGGGUCCGGUCCCUCGGCCCCGCAGGAGAGGCUGAACCCGGUGUGGCGAGGACCCGGACAGCAGCGGGUCCAAAGAGCGCGGGGUUCAACCUGAAGAAGUUCUGGGGUCGAGGCCCUCCGGGACAACGUGAACGCGGGCCACCUGUGAGAGCCACUCCGUCCACAGGUGGAGGACCCCCAAUCUCCUGAGCUGCUGUGAGGAUCACAAGCAGUGGAGCAGGUGCACCAACUCAAGACGUGGGUGACAGGGCGUAAGCCUGCAUCCGCUGUGCCUCCUGGCAAACAUGGGAUCCAGAACGGAUGAAAGCGCUGGCCUUCCAAAGGAUGAAAGGAACUUCCUCCGUUAUAACAACCUCUUGGCCUGCAGACGAUACAGAGCAGGGGUGCCUGGGUGGCUGAGUCGGGACAGCGGGGGUUUUCAGCAACAUCCUUGCAAAGCUGAUCCGUUUGAAACGCACAUUCAUCUGGAAGCAGAACAAGUCUGUUGGACCUAAUUAUACUGAACCCACAUCAGGACCGGAUCUCACCCCUCCAUCCCAACAACGCAUGCCAGAACUCAGAAUGCACACACCCAAAAGAUUCCCUGCCAGGAUCCCCCGUUGAGGGUUUUCACCAACACCUUCUCAUUCACCUAAUUUAGUAGUGUCUGAACACCGAGGCUUUGGAACGGUCCUAAUUUUACUUCUUCCUGCCUGAUCGGCAGGAAGUUUAAAUAAGCCAAGAUGU
This 812-nucleotide long non-coding RNA is filed under the name Felis catus (domestic cat). RNAcentral describes it as "lncRNA (ENSFCAG00000052027.1)". Lineage: Eukaryota; Metazoa; Chordata; Mammalia; Carnivora; Felidae. The record is from RNAcentral.